Long non-coding RNA from Nanorana parkeri, 166 nucleotides. RefSeq lists it as uncharacterized. Lineage: Eukaryota; Metazoa; Chordata; Amphibia; Anura; Dicroglossidae. The record is from RefSeq and is a predicted model, not a curated record. The transcript has 3 exons.
CUGACAGGAGAGGUUCCUAUAAGGUGUCAGGACGUCACCGUCUAUUUCUCCAUGGAGGAGUGGGAGUAUCUAGAAGGACAGAAAGACCUCUACAAGAACGUCAUGAUGAAGGAUCAGCCGCCCCUCACAUCACCGGAUGGAUCCAGUAAGAGGAACCCACCAGAGA